Cucumis melo (muskmelon) is the source of this 1559-nucleotide RNA transcript. RefSeq lists it as uncharacterized. The transcript has 3 exons. The record is from RefSeq and is a predicted model, not a curated record. Lineage: Eukaryota; Viridiplantae; Streptophyta; Magnoliopsida; Cucurbitales; Cucurbitaceae.
AAAUGCCGCCAAGGAGGGGUGCACGUAGGGGUGGCCGAGGAGGCCGAGGAAGGGGAGCAGGAAGUGUUCAACUUGAGGUGCAGCUUGUAGCCCAAGCCACUGACCCGGCUGCGCCAGUUACUCAUGCGGACCUAGCUGCCAUGGAGCAGAGGUUCAGGGAUUUGAUUAUGCAGAUACGGGAGCAGCAGCAGCCUGCCCCGCCAGCUCCAACGCCAGCUCCUGCUCCAGCUCCGACUCCAGUACCAGUUGUGCCCCAGGUUGUGCCGGAUCAGUUGUCAGCAGAGGCCAAGCACCUGAGGGAUUUCAGGAAGUAUAACCCCACGACAUUCGAUGGGUCUUUGGAGGACCCUACCAGGGCUCAGCUGUGGUUAUCGUCUUUGGAAACCAUAUUCCGGUACAUGAAGUGCCAUGAGGAUCAGAAAGUUCAGUGUGCUGUUUUCAUGUUGACAGACAGAGGUACUGCAUGGUGGGAGACUACAGAGAGAAUGCUAGGUGGUGAUGUGAGUCAGAUCACGUGGCAACAGUUCAAGGAGAGUUUCUAUGCGAAAUUCUUCUCUGCUAGUUUGAGAGAUGCCAAGCGGCAGGAGUUCCUGAACUUAGAGCAGGGUGACAUGACAGUGGAGCAGUAUGAUGCGGAGUUUGACAUGUUAUCCCGCUUCGCUCCCGAGAUGAUAGCGACCGAGGCGGCCAGAGCUGAUAAGUUUGUUAGAGGCCUCCGACUGGACAUUCAGGGUUUGGUUCGAGCUUUCCAACCUGCUACACAUGCCGAUGCACUGCGCCUAGCAGUGGAUCUCAGUUUACAGGAGAGGGCUAACUCGUCGAAGGUCGCAGGUAGAGAUUCGACCUCGGCACAGAAAAGGAAGGCUGAGCAGCAGCCUAUUCCAGUGCCGCAGCGGAACUUCAGACCAGGUGGUGAGUUUCGCCGCUUCCAGCAGAAACCUUUUGAGGCAGGGGAAGCUGCCAGGGGGAAGUCAUUGUGUACCACUUGUGGGAAGCACCAUCUGGGCCGUUGUUUAUUUGGGACCAGGACUUGCUUUAAGUGUAGGCUAGAGGGGCAUACAGCUGACAGAUGCCCGAUGAGGAUUACCGGGAAUGCGCAGAAUCAGGGAGCAGGUGCUCCACAUCAGGGUAAAGUCUUUGCUACCAACAAGACAGAGGCUGAGAGGGCAGGCACGAUGGUGACAGGUAGGGGUACAGCGAGGGGCAGACCGACGAGAGGCAGGAAGGAUGCGUGAAGGCCAUAUGGACGCGUCUGGUUUUCUUUUCGCUUCCGCUAUGCAUUUUGUCAGAAUAUUUUGACUGUGAUUUUGGACUGGUAAGGGUACAGCGAGGGGCAGACCGACGAGGGGCAAGAAGGAUGCGUGAAGGCCAUAUUGACGCGUCUGGUUUUCUUUAUGCUUUCGCUGAUGUAUUUUGUUAGAAUAUUUGGUUUUGUGAUUUUGAGUUGAUGACUUGAGUAUUUUAUUUGAAACUUUCGUGACUGUGAUUUAAAAUAGGGCCCAAAACUGUUUUUGUAAUAUUUCUAACGUUUUAACGAAUCGUAACUGGUCCGUUAUGAA